RNAcentral lists this ribosomal RNA (446 nucleotides) under uncultured bacterium. Its description in RNAcentral is "partial 16S ribosomal RNA". It matches the Rfam family "Bacterial small subunit ribosomal RNA", at positions 330 to 792 of the family's 1533-position model. The record is from RNAcentral.
CCCAGACUCUUACGGGAGGCAGCAGUGGGGGAUAUUGCACAAUGGGGGGAACCCUGGUGCAGCGACGCCGCGUGGGUGAAGGAGCGUUUCGGCGCGUAAAGCCCUAUCGGCAGGGAAGAAGGAGGACGGUACCUGACUAAGAAGCCCCGGCUAACUACGUGCCAGCAGCCGCGGUAAUACGUAGGGGGCAAGCGUUAUCCGGAUUUACUGGGUGUAAAGGGGGCGCAGACGGCAGCGCAAGCCAGGAGUGAAAGCCCGGGGCCCAACCCCGGGACUGCUCUUGGAACUGCGCGGCUGGAGUGCAGGAGGGGCAGGCGGAAUUCCUGGUGUAGCGGUGAAAUGCGUAGAUAUCAGGAGGAACACCGGUGGCGAAGGCGGCCUGCUGGACUGCGACUGACGUUGAGGCCCGAAAGCGUGGGGAGCAAACAGGAUUAGAUACCCGCGUA